This is a non-coding RNA of Acanthosepion pharaonis, 95 nucleotides long. NCBI's taxonomy places the organism in Eukaryota, Metazoa, Mollusca, Cephalopoda, Sepiida, Sepiidae. The record is from the annotation of a GenBank genome assembly.
CAUUAAAACAACGGUUUCCGUACGACCACCGAAGUUAAGCAACGUCGAGUCUGGUCAAUACCGAGGUGGGUGAUAGUUUGGGAAUACCAGGUGCU